ACCUCGGAUCAGGUAGGAAUACCCGCUGAACUUAAGCAUAUCAAUAAGCGGAGGAAAAGAAACCAACAGGGAUUGCCCCAGUAACGGCGAGUGAAGCGGCAACAGCUCAAAUUUGAAAUCUGGCCCCUCGGGGUCCGAGUUGUAAUUUGUAGAGGAUGCUUUUGGUGAGGUGCCGCCCGAGUUCCCUGGAACGGGACGCCACAGAGGGUGAGAGCCCCGUCUGGCUGGCCACCGAGCCUCUGUAAAGCUCCUUCGACGAGUCGAGUAGUUUGGGAAUGCUGCUCAAAAUGGGAGGUAUAUGUCUUCUAAAGCUAAAUAUUGGCCAGAGACCGAUAGCGCACAAGUAGAGUGAUCGAAAGAUGAAAAGCACCUUGAAAAGAGGGUUAAAUAGUACGUGAAAUUGUUGAAAGGGAAGCGCUUGUGACCAGACUUGGGCGCGGCGGAUCAUCCGGGGUUCUCUCCGGUGCACUUCGCCGCGUCUAGGCCAGCAUCAGUUCGUCGCGGGGGAAAAAGGCUUCGGGAACGUGGCUCCUCCGGGAGUGUUAUAGCCCGUUGCAUAAUACCCUGCGGUGGACUGAGGAC
Molecule: ribosomal RNA, 582 nt
Filed under: Trichoderma sp. BESC883d
Lineage: Eukaryota; Fungi; Ascomycota; Sordariomycetes; Hypocreales; Hypocreaceae
Description: eukaryotic LSU rRNA
Rfam family: Eukaryotic large subunit ribosomal RNA
Source: RNAcentral